AAGAAAGUAAAUAAGGGCGCAUGGCGGAUGCCUUGGCUCUCGGAGGCGAUGAAGGACGUGAUAAGCUGCGAUAAGCUUCGGGUAGGUGCAAAUGACCUUUGAUCCGAAGAUUUCCGAAUGGGACAACCCGGCAUUCUGAAGGAAUGUCAUCCAACUUGGUUGGAGGCUAACGCAGGGAACUGAAACAUCUUAGUACCUGCAGGAAAAGAAAAUAAAUAAUGAUUCCCCUAGUAGUGGCGAGCGAACGGGGAUUAGCCCAAACCACCCAUGUUACGGCAUGUGUGGGGUUGUAGGACCACGCUCUCGCAAGACAGUUAUUGAGAAGAAACGACUGGAAAGUCGUGCCAUAGACGGUGAUAGCCCGGUAUUCUAAGGUAACCGAAGCGUAGUGGUAUCCUGAGUAGCGCGGAGCACGAGGAAUUCUGCGUGAAUCAGCCGGGACCAUCCGGUAAGGCUAAAUACUCCCGAGAGACCGAUAGCGAACCAGUACUGUGAAGGAAAGGUGAAAAGCACUUCGAAUAGAAGAGUGAAAUAGUCCCUGAAACCAUGCGCCUACAAGCGGUCGGAGCAGCUUCAGCUGUGACGGCGUGCCUUUUGCAUAAUGAACCUACGAGUUACUUUUUCCGGCAAGGUUAAGCAUCUUGAGAUGUGGAUCCGAAGCGAAAGCGAGUCUGAACAGGGCGGAUAGUCGGAAGGAGUAGACGCGAAACCAAGUGAUCUACCCUUGGGCAGGUUGAAGGUUAGGUAACACUAACUGGAGGACCGAACCGAUAAGCGUUGAAAAGCUUCCGGAUGACCUGAGGGUGGGGGUGAAAGGCUAAUCAAACUUGGAGAUAGCUCGUACUCCCCGAAAUGCAUUUAGGUGCAGCCUUGAGAGUUACUAAUGUGAGGUAGAGCGACUGAUAAGAUGCGAGGGCUUCACCGCCUAUCAAGUCUUGAUAAACUCCGAAUGCGCAUUAGUUCUAUCUCAGGAGUGAGGGCAUGGGUGCUAAGGUCCAUGUCCUAAAGGAGAAGAAUCCAGACCAUCAGCUAAGGUCCCCAAAUAAACACUAAGUUGAACUAACGAAGUCAGAUUGCUAAGACAGCUAGGAUGUUGGCUUGGAAGCAGCCAUUCAUUUAAAGAGUGCGUAACAGCUCACUAGUCGAGGAGUUUGGCGUGGAUAAUAAUCGGGCAUAAGUGUUUUACCGAAGCUAUGGGAU
This 1200-nucleotide ribosomal RNA is filed under the name Bacteroides fragilis. RNAcentral describes it as "partial 23S ribosomal RNA". It matches the Rfam family "Bacterial large subunit ribosomal RNA", at positions 1 to 1208 of the family's 2925-position model. The record is from RNAcentral. Lineage: Bacteria; Pseudomonadati; Bacteroidota; Bacteroidia; Bacteroidales; Bacteroidaceae.